AGUGAACCUGAGCCGGAACUUUCUCUACAUAAGCAGGGCCUCCUGGCGUUUGGAGAGGUGGGCCCAAUCCUUUCAGUUGAAAGAACAGAACUGAGGUUUCCCUGAAGAAGAAAUUCCACUUGUGAACUGUAUGGAUAGCUCUCACCCAAGAGUUUCCAGCCUGGACUUCCUGAUGACCUGCCUGCCAGCCCCCAUAGUCAUGAACAAUGUCCAGUGAGGCAUACAUCAAUCCCUGGAAAAUAGGAUGUUAAUGACCAAGACUAUGCAAGAAGCAAAACAGUUUGACAAGUGAGAGGACAACUAAGGGAUGUGCAAGGUGAGCUAGAUGUGUUGAACUGGUGAAGACAGGGCAUUCACUCAGUGAAGUAAGCCUACCAUGGGUUACACAAAAUCAAGUCUCUAGGGGGCUGUACUAACAAGGUUAUGUGUGCAACAAGAUUUGUACUUGUCCCAAGUUUUGUUUUCUAUCUUUAAUUCUUCCUAUGUGAUUUGUCAGAUUAUUUUCUCAUGCAUUCAUCUUCCAAAACCUUGACAAGCUUAGUAUUAAUUUGAAUGAGCUUAGAUAGUAGCCAUAUGGCUAUUGCAUUUGCUACAAGUAUUCACUUAACCCUGUUUCUAAUUUUACUUGUUCAGUUUUAAUUUUGCAAUUUUAGAUUUUUAUGAUAUAAAAUGUCUCAACCUUUAAAAAAAACAUUUAUUUCAAACUCUGGAAGGUAAACUGUUCUCCAUUACAGUGUUUCCCCAAAGUACAUUCCACAAAACUCCAGGUAUAUAAGAUGCAAUAAGGAAAAACUAUUUCAAGGGUCAAAGAAAUAUGGAAAAUAUCCCUGUAUCUAGUCUGACAAAUGUGAAAUCAACAUGUCUCAAUUUGUUUUAUCCAAUGGUUCUCUAAUGAAUUUGACAGUGGAACCAAUUUUGCUUGUAACCCUUAUCAACAUCUCAGCAAUUCAGUGGUCCAUGGAACACUUUGGGAUAUGAUAUUCUACAGAGUUUUAAGAGGCUUUUUUUAUUCAGGAUUUAACAUUUUAAAAUGCAUUUGACCCCUGAAUGCAUCCGAAGUUCAUUUCGUUAUGUGGUACUAUUAAGUAAUUAAAUGAUUGUUCCUUUUCUUUGUCCUCUUUUAUUGUUUUAAGCAAGUCACUUAUCAAAUACCAAGUCUGGAGAGAAUUACAAAAGCGGAUUUUGUUCCUGUCAGAAAAUAUUAACAUUAAAAAUGGGAUUUAUUUCUCCAGUGUGGGACUGAUGUUAAUGGCUUUGUACUUGAAGCAACUCCUUGGGACAACUGAUUAAAUCUACCAAUUUAUAUUAAGCCUGGUGGUAAUUUUCUUGGUGAUUUUCACAAGGCUGUGUCAAGUCCUUCUGGAACUUUGAGUUAUUUGGGCCAGAAGCUCCCAAACAUGGUCUUGAGAUGUGAUUAGGGAGAACAGAGUAGAGAAGUGGGGGCUAUCUCACCUAAACAAUAAAGGAAAUGACAUGUCUCAAGUUUUAAGUUCUUUUUCCAAAUACAAUUAAAUUGACCCUAGAACAUUGGAGUUUAUGCUGGCAUCCACCUUAGUCCUUCCAGUUCCCAACUAUAACCCCCUUUCUACGUCAGACUGCUGUUGAGAGGUGCCAAAGUCCUUUUGGAGCCCAAAAGAACAUUAUUUGAUGUUCUAAAGUAUCAAAAGGAAUAAGAAUGCUCUCCCUCCUCUUUUGUCUUAAACAAGAUUUUUAUAUCUUAUAAUCGAUGAUUAUGACUAUGGUAAUGACAAUAUAUGUGAAAAUUCUCCACAUUUAGGAAAGCCACCAAACAUAGAUUAAUCUAACUCUAACUUUCUUUUUAAAUGAGAAAUCUCUCAGAUCUUGUCUCCCUAAGAUCUACCCAUACUGUUUUCAAAUUAUGGGGAGACAGUGUCCUUAGGUACAAGAGUGAGAACCUGGCUCUUCACUUAAACCCAUGAGUCUUUCACUUCUACAGUUGGAAAGCAAAAAUGCACUAUUUAUUGAUUUCUGGCUACAAAGUAGAUUGCAUCUGUUGGGCAGAAUGCUGGGAUUUUUACCUUUUCCUUCAUUAUCAACUAUACUCAUGUCAGCCUUUGCCUUGGCUAAUAUUUCCAUGGACAAUUCAUGACCCAGUUCUGCAGCCCUCAUUGUCGGAGUACAGCCCAUCUUGUCUUGCACAUCAGGAUGAGCACCAAGGCUAAGGAGAAAGCUGACCAUAUCAAUGUCAUUGGAAAUUGAGGCUAAGUGCAGAGCACUGUGUCCAUUGACCGGUUCUGUAAAAUUGAUUAGUUCAGGGUAUCCAAGCCUGAUCAACUUCUCUAUCUGCUUCAUGUCUUUGUUCCGAACACACUGAAGAACUUUGUAGAUCUGCAAGUUCUCAAGUCUCUUAUCUGCUAAAGCCAUACUCGACCACCUUCUUGAAGAUGCUUUUCUGGACCAAAACAAAACUAUAGCAACAAAAACAAAAACAGAAACAUACAAAACUCAAAGUUAAUUCUGUCAUCUGUAUUUUGAUUAGAUAGUAAUAUUUUAUACCUUCCCUUCUGAGAAGAGAGGCUGUUUCUUACGAAAUAAUAUUACCAUAGUUUAUGGCAACUGCCUUCAUGAGAGUAUAAAUUACACAUAAAUACAAAGGACAUACAGUUAGCAUAAAGUUAAAAUAUUUCAAAACAAAUCUUUCAUCCUAAUUAAUAUCAGCCUUGCUGUGAAGCUUUCUUGUUAAUUUAAUUUCUUGUCUCAUUUAAUCUUCCUUCCUUGACACAGCCUCCCCAUUUUAGCCACAAAGAAAGUAAGGCUAACAAAAGUGCCAAGGUAAGGUUUCAUUUUCCCACUACAUGGCUCUGUUACCAGCAUGCCCCUCAACAGAGACCACACAGGUUUUAGCAGUUAACAAGUGUUAAAAAAAGAACAUGUAGAAUUUUGAGGUGCUUAUCAUAAGGAGGAAUCUACUGGAUUCUGUGAGAUACCAAACGUGAUUACUGUGUCAUCUUACAUGGGAAUGAGGUAGGUGAACGGUUGAGAGAGAACUGUAAUUUUCAUAAAUAAUCCCACUGUUACAUUGUAAUGAUCAUUCUAAUAUGAAAUGUUAUCUCCUUUCAUUUAUGGAAAAACAAUAUUUUCAGUUGAGUCAGGCUAGGUAGACCCAGCUUGCUUUUCUUUCCUCACUUUUUCUGGGAAAAGAACCCCAUUAUCAUAUUGGAAAUCCAUUCCAGAUCAUAUAGUACUGCUAUCCUAGGCCAAGUCAUUGCCACAGACUUCUAAUUUGUCUCACUGCUUCUACAACAGAUCCCCUAGCUUCCUUUCUCUGGUCAGUCCUCAGAAACAUCUUUUAAAAAUGUAUCAGAUAAAGUCAAGCAACCUUUGACCCCCAGCAUUUUGUAUGGAUCUGCCCCUUCCAUCCCCUAUGAUAGCAAUGAGUCAAAGACCAAGGCUUAGUCUGUGUGUGAGCACAUGCUCAGGAAGGACAUCAGCCAGUCAGCAUCCUAAGGGACCCUUCUGUCAGAACUAUAUGGACAGACUACUGUGUGCUGAUGCUGUUAAGCAGUAGGGUGGGGUGCUGCAGUUGCAGGAACCAUGUUGGCAGUCAGGGAGAGUGUGUGCUACAGAGACUGAGACUUAGGGCAGAGGUUGGGACUCAGUUGUGCCAGAAUUCACCCACCACUUUAAUCCAUGCAACAUGUUAGUUAAUGCAGC
Long non-coding RNA from Acinonyx jubatus (cheetah), 3675 nucleotides. RefSeq lists it as uncharacterized. The record is from RefSeq and is a predicted model, not a curated record. The transcript is spliced from 3 exons. NCBI's taxonomy places the organism in Eukaryota, Metazoa, Chordata, Mammalia, Carnivora, Felidae.